Molecule: long non-coding RNA, 364 nt
Organism: Pelobates fuscus (common spadefoot toad)
Lineage: Eukaryota; Metazoa; Chordata; Amphibia; Anura; Pelobatidae
Exons: 3
Source: RefSeq, a predicted model, not a curated record
CCCACAUCAGAGCAAUGCGGAUCAGAGGUGCCAGGCAGCAAGGACGGGAAUCCAAUGUGCGGGUCCAAUUGGUUACCUAAGGGGACUCUCCUAAGGAGCUGGCUCACCAAAUCACGUCCCCGGCUACUCCUGUUCAUCGCUGGUUUAAAACGACCUCAGGUCACUCUGAUGCGGAGAAAGAGGAUGAAACGUACCAAAGUAGCAAAGGCCACGUAAGCGGUAAAUAGAGUAAUAGAGAGUGAGUGCACGUUCCCCUCAUUUCCCGGAGGAGUUGUUGGCGAGGCCCCGGGGAGAUGCCUGCGGCUGGCACCCGUGAAGAAGGAGAGCAAAGUGAAAGCACCCAAAUAAAAGGAACUGCAGUCUG